UACGGGGGGGGCAAGCGUUGUUCGGAAUUACUGGGCGUAAAGGGCUCGUAGGCGGCCAACUAAGUCAGACGUGAAAUCCCUCGGCUUAACCGGGGAACUGCGUCUGAUACUGGAUGGCUUGAAUCCGGGAGAGGGAUGCGGAAUUCCAGGUGUAGCGGUGAAAUGCGUAGAUAUCUGGAGGAACACCGAUGGCGAAGGCAGCCCCCUGGGCUAACACUGACGCUCAUGCACGAAAGCGUGGGGAGCAAACAGG
This 253-nucleotide ribosomal RNA is filed under the name uncultured bacterium. Its description in RNAcentral is "partial 16S ribosomal RNA". It matches the Rfam family "Bacterial small subunit ribosomal RNA", at positions 524 to 776 of the family's 1533-position model. The record is from RNAcentral.